Molecule: ribosomal RNA, 667 nt
Filed under: uncultured Lachnospiraceae bacterium
Lineage: Bacteria; Bacillati; Bacillota; Clostridia; Lachnospirales; Lachnospiraceae
Description: bacterial SSU rRNA
Rfam family: Bacterial small subunit ribosomal RNA
Source: RNAcentral
AAGUCGAACGAAGCAAUUAAAAUGAAGUUUUCGGAUGGAUUUUUGAUUGACUGAGUGGCGGACGGGUGAGUAACGCGUGGAUAACCUGCCUCACACUGGGGGAUAACAGUUAGAAAUGACUGCUAAUACCGCAUAAGCGCACAGUACCGCAUGGUACGGUGUGAAAAACUCCGGUGGUGUGAGAUGGAUCCGCGUCUGAUUAGCCAGUUGGCGGGGUAACGGCCCACCAAAGCGACGAUCAGUAGCCGACCUGAGAGGGUGACCGGCCACAUUGGGACUGAGACACGGCCCAAACUCCUACGGGAGGCAGCAGUGGGGAAUAUUGCACAAUGGGCGAAAGCCUGAUGCAGCGACGCCGCGUGAGUGAAGAAGUAUUUCGGUAUGUAAAGCUCUAUCAGCAGGGAAGAAAAUGACGGUACCUGACUAAGAAGCCCCGGCUAACUACGUGCCAGCAGCCGCGGUAAUACGUAGGGGGCAAGCGUUAUCCGGAUUUACUGGGUGUAAAGGGAGCGUAGACGGCGAAGCAAGUCUGAAGUGAAAACCCAGGGCUCAACCCUGGGACUGCUUUGGAAACUGUUUUGCUAGAGUGUCGGAGAGGUAAGUGGAAUUCCUAGUGUAGCGGUGAAAUGCGUAGAUAUUAGGAGGAACACCAGUGGCGAAGGCGGCU